GGCGGCGUAGCUCAGUUGGCUAGAGCAAACGGUUCAUACCCGUUGUGUCGAGUGUUCGAAUCACUCCGCCGCCA
This 74-nucleotide transfer RNA is filed under the name Candidatus Omnitrophota bacterium. RNAcentral's name for it is "Candidatus Omnitrophica bacterium (sediment metagenome) tRNA-Met". It matches the Rfam family "tRNA". From Rfam's summary of the family: Transfer RNA (tRNA) molecules are approximately 80 nucleotides in length. Their secondary structure includes four short double-helical elements and three loops (D, anti-codon, and T loops). Further hydrogen bonds mediate the characteristic L-shaped molecular structure. tRNAs have two regions of fundamental functional importance: the anti-codon, which is responsible for specific mRNA codon recognition, and the 3' end, to which the tRNAs corresponding amino acid is attached (by aminoacyl-tRNA synthetases). tRNAs cope with the degeneracy of the genetic code in two manners: having more than one tRNA (with a specific anti-codon) for a particular amino acid; and 'wobble' base-pairing, i.e. permitting non-standard base-pairing at the 3rd anti-codon position. Lineage: Bacteria; Pseudomonadati; Candidatus Omnitrophota. The record is from RNAcentral.